Molecule: long non-coding RNA, 1161 nt
Organism: Coturnix japonica (Japanese quail)
Lineage: Eukaryota; Metazoa; Chordata; Aves; Galliformes; Phasianidae
Source: Ensembl
CUCAGCCAUCCAGGUUCUUCAAUUAAACACAAAGCCUCAGCUAACCUUGAGUUUAACAGGAGCAACCUCCUCGUAUUGGAGAGAGCUGAGCCAACAUAGUUUUGAUGACUGAAUGUUUCCACAAACAUUACAGCAAAAAUUAGUGACAUAAGCAAUGCUGAGUUAUUUAAAUCUUUGUCCUUACUGUCAGUUAAGCAACUUCUGCCUCAAAAUCCAAUAUAUGAGUUUGGCAUCUUAUUACUGGUGAUGAAUCAUUUCCUUCUGCAUUGGUUACUUUGACUGACCCUUGAAAAGGCAACUCAUGUAGAAAAUGUUCAGUACCUACAUUAUUUCUCAACAGGCAAUAUAGAUUUGUUGAUUGUCAGUCACAGAUUCACUUACGCAGAACUAAGGAAAACGCACGGAGGCAGAAAUACUGUCUGCUGUUUAAUUUCUUACUAUUCCAGCUCUUUAAUUUGUUAUUUAUGAAGUGGUAGAAUUUAGUAGGACAAUCUGAGCUAAAACAUGCAAUUCGUUUUUAUCCAGAUUUCUUUACAACUUUAUUCAUUUUGAGGAAAUUGCAGGAAGCACAAAAUAAUUCCCUUAGAAAUGAAGUAGCUGACACUUUACAUUUAUUACAGCUGUGAAGCCUUCAAGGUUGAUGAGUAAUAAUUUUUCAUUCUCAACAAUAGCUGAACAGAGAAUGCUUGGAGACUUAUGAAGAUGAUUAACAGACUGUGCAUUCCCAUGCAAUAGCAUCAUGUUAGUAAUUCACAUCAAAAUAAGUUCACCAUUCACUACCAUGUAGGAAAGAAAUGAGUCAUUGGAACCAGUUCUGUGUUACAGACCACCUGAUCAAAGGCAGAGCGAGGCCACUCACACCUGGAUAGAGAGAUGAAGCUUGAAGUGGAAACUUGGAGCAAAUUGCACCAUGACAGCUACAUACAGAGAAAGAGCUUGCAUGUUUGGAAUCACAGAAAAGAAACAUGCUGUGUCUUGAAAGAUAAAAAAUAUUACCCUAGAACUGUCCAGAUUUUUAUCAUGGAGUCUUGUUGACCUUUUCCAUUACACUGAACAUUCCAUUCUAAAGCAGAAGAAAUCUGUGUCCUUAUUUAUUUCUUUUUACAAACAGAAGGGGAAAAGCACAAAUAAAUAAUCACUGCACCCAGGUAAUUUUAAACA